RNAcentral lists this ribosomal RNA (620 nucleotides) under Alcaligenes phenolicus. RNAcentral's name for it is "bacterial SSU rRNA". It matches the Rfam family "Bacterial small subunit ribosomal RNA", at positions 78 to 691 of the family's 1533-position model. Lineage: Bacteria; Pseudomonadati; Pseudomonadota; Betaproteobacteria; Burkholderiales; Alcaligenaceae. The record is from RNAcentral.
GCUUGCUCUCUUGGCGGCGAGUGGCGGACGGGUGAGUAAUAUAUCGGAACGUGCCCAGUAGCGGGGGAUAACUACUCGAAAGAGUGGCUAAUACCGCAUACGCCCUACGGGGGAAAGGGGGGGAUCGCAAGACCUCUCACUAUUGGAGCGGCCGAUAUCGGAUUAGCUAGUUGGUGGGGUAAAGGCUCACCAAGGCAACGAUCCGUAGCUGGUUUGAGAGGACGACCAGCCACACUGGGACUGAGACACGGCCCAGACUCCUACGGGAGGCAGCAGUGGGGAAUUUUGGACAAUGGGGGAAACCCUGAUCCAGCCAUCCCGCGUGUAUGAUGAAGGCCUUCGGGUUGUAAAGUACUUUUGGCAGAGAAGAAAAGGUAUCUCCUAAUACGAGAUACUGCUGACGGUAUCUGCAGAAUAAGCACCGGCUAACUACGUGCCAGCAGCCGCGGUAAUACGUAGGGUGCAAGCGUUAAUCGGAAUUACUGGGCGUAAAGCGUGUGUAGGCGGUUCGGAAAGAAAGAUGUGAAAUCCCAGGGCUCAACCUUGGAACUGCAUUUUUAACUGCCGAGCUAGAGUAUGUCAGAGGGGGGUAGAAUUCCACGUGUAGCAGUGAAAUGCGU